UCGAGAAUCUUCGGCAAUGGGCGCAAGCCUGACCGAGCGACGCCGCGUGGAGGACGAAGGCCUUCGGGUUGUAAACUCCUGUCGAGGGGGAGGAAGGUCGGGCAACCGGCUUGACCGAUCCCUGGAGGAAGCACGGGCUAAGUUCGUGCCAGCAGCCGCGGUAAGACGAACCGUGCGAACGUUAUUCGGAAUCACUGGGCUUAAAGCGCGUGUAGGCGGACGGGAACGUCGGUCGUUGAAAGCCCCCGGCUCAACCGGGGAAGUGGCGCCGAAACGACCCGUCUGGAGGGACGUAGGGGGACCUGGAACUUCCGGUGGAGCGGUGAAAUGCGUUGAGAUCGGAAGGAACGCCCGUGGCGAAAGCGAGGUCCUGGACGUCUACUGACGCUGAGACGCGAAAGCUAGGGUAGCGAACG
RNAcentral lists this ribosomal RNA (416 nucleotides) under uncultured bacterium. RNAcentral describes it as "bacterial SSU rRNA". It matches the Rfam family "Bacterial small subunit ribosomal RNA", at positions 355 to 774 of the family's 1533-position model. The record is from RNAcentral.